CGAAUCCUUCAGGGCAGGGUGUAAUUCCCUACCGGCGGUGAUGCAGUAUGUGAGGAUAUCUAUCCAGCAUUGAUGCAAAGUCCGUGACCCGUCUGCCUAUGGCAGAUGGCUGAUCUGGUGUAAUUCCAGAACCGACAGUAUAGUCUGGAUGGGAGAAGGAGAGG
Molecule: non-coding RNA, 164 nt
Filed under: Paenibacillus sp.
Lineage: Bacteria; Bacillati; Bacillota; Bacilli; Caryophanales; Paenibacillaceae
Description: FMN sequence
Rfam family: FMN riboswitch aptamer (RFN element)
About the family: The RFN element is a highly conserved domain that is found frequently in the 5'-untranslated regions of prokaryotic mRNAs that encode for flavin mononucleotide (FMN) biosynthesis and transport proteins. This element is a metabolite-dependent riboswitch that directly binds FMN in the absence of proteins.
Source: RNAcentral